AAGGUGACAUGUUUAUGGACCCAGAACUAGCUAAGACAGCUAAGACUCUGUGUACAUGCGAAUCACUUCAAGAAUCUUCUUGAUGAAAGAAGCUUGUGUGGUUUGUUAAAAGACUUCGAUCCGCUCACAGCCAUGCAGAUUAAGACGAAUUUAGAUCGACAUUAUUUUGAUAACAAUGAAAACUCAAAUGCUUGAAACGAAAUGAGUGGAGUUGAACGACGCCUGUUUAUCGAAACUACAUCAAUCAACUUUUCAACUAUGCAGGAUUUCAAAAUGUACAAGGCAUCAUAUCAAAGAUUGCAUAUGCCCGAAAGAAGGACAAAUCCAAUUUGGCUCUCUGGAUGUAUGGAAAGCUCUCAACCUUCCAGAAAAGGACUGUUCAAAGGAACACUUAAAUCCCUC
Bolinopsis microptera is the source of this 402-nucleotide long non-coding RNA. RefSeq lists it as uncharacterized. The record is from RefSeq and is a predicted model, not a curated record. The transcript is spliced from 3 exons. Lineage: Eukaryota; Metazoa; Ctenophora; Tentaculata; Lobata; Bolinopsidae.